CCCAAUUGCUCACACAUACCUUGAAAGGUACACAGAUAGUGUGACAUUUUAUGUAAAAAAACGAAUUGGGUGCAAAUGGACAAGUGAACUGCUGUCAUAAACCUAGAUCAGUCAGCCCCCAUUUUUUUUCAUGUUAGGCAUUUCUGGUUUUGAUUCCACAACCAGUGCGACCGAGAUGGAGGUAUGAUUUUGUCAUCGUUGCAUUAUGGGGAACAAUAGCCUCUUGCGCAGCGAUCCCACACAAUUGCAGCAUCAGAGCCUUGAUAGAAGAUCUGGAAUUGAUCUGUGUUACACAGAACCCGACGAAGAGGCAACAAGUGCACAAUCAGCAUCAAGGGAGGACGGGAGUCCCUACCGUUGGAACCCCCAAUCGCCGAACUCGCAACCACCCCCAACCCCCGGAGGACUGUACAGUACUUGAAUUUAGCCUGCACAUACAGUAGAAUCCCACGUGAAAGGAGAGGUGCGGAAAUUAAAGGAUUGCAGGUCCUCUCCAUACGGGGGUAGGUGUGUGUGUAUAGGUGUCUAAAAAGAAGGGGGCUGCAGAGAGCCUUUUAGCCCAUUUAGAGUUGACAGUGUACGCGUGGCAGUGUUUAUUAGAAACCAACACAGAGAGCCCAGCCCAGCCCCAGGCAGCAGAGAGAUGGCAGUGUGCAGGAAAACAGCGACUCCUCCCCUCCUCCUCCCCCCGGCCUGCAGCAGUAACCCUCACACCGACAUGCGAAGAAGAAGGACAAAAAGAAAAAUACAGAAGAAGAGGAGCGCUCAGAUGUACCUAUUGUUCGGACUUUUUCUGCUUAUUGUUGAGCUUUUUGUCUUCUUCCCGGAGUAGUCGCUACUGUACGGUAAAACCGAGGCAUAUCCGUGUUCUGCCUCUGUUGACACAAACAAAUACAAGCGUGCAUUUUUUUUUUUUGCAAAAGUGAUGCAGAAUAGAGUAAAUACGUGAGCUGUCAAUGAGUCGUGAUAUUGUUUUACUGAAACACAAACACACGCACACACAAAUGCCCCGUCAUUUUUGCAUCUGUCAUGAUGUUACAAGCUGAUGUCACUGUUGUUUACCCACUUCUCCAAAAUAAUAGAACUCUGGAACACAUAAUACCCGGAGUUUCUGAGAAUAGAGGGGGAAAUGCUUAUAUCUAUCAAGUACAUGUCCAUUUAAAAAAAGCAACAACAACAAAACUACACAGUUGGCACCCAUCGUUUGCUUCACACCCUAUUGUCCAUACACAGUGACAUCAUACUUGUACCACCACAUGUCAUCUCAAACUUCAUUUUAGUGCCGAGCAUUAGCCGCUACACAAGUCAGCACUUAGUCCGGGUUGCAGUUAAAACGUGAAUAAUUGCUGUCAUCGCUUCAAUUUGGCUUCAAAUACCUCUGUCUCUUCUUUCCAAGUACUCUGCAGCCUCCAGCAGAAUUAGAAGCGAGUUAAGUUCCAUCUUGUUUUUGUCUCAAAACCAAAUAGGAGACAGUAAAUACACAAGUUUACAUAAAGUGUUGGAAUGGAAA
Long non-coding RNA from Hippocampus zosterae (dwarf seahorse), 1510 nucleotides. RefSeq lists it as uncharacterized. The record is from RefSeq and is a predicted model, not a curated record. The transcript has 2 exons. NCBI's taxonomy places the organism in Eukaryota, Metazoa, Chordata, Actinopteri, Syngnathiformes, Syngnathidae.